GCGUGCGUGAAGAAGGCCCUAGGGUUGUAAAGCGCUUUCGGCGGGGAAGAUGAUGACGGUACCCGCAGAAGAAGCCCCGGCUAACUCCGUGCCAGCAGCCGCGGUAAUACGGAGGGGGCUAGCGUUGUUCGGAUUUACUGGGCGUAAAGGGCGCGUAGGCGGACCUACUAGUCAGGGGUGAAAGGCCUGGGCUCAACCUGGGAACUGCCUUUGAAACUGAAGGUCUUGAGUCCGAGAGAGGAUAGCGGAAUUCCCAGUGUAGAGGUGAAAUUCGU
RNAcentral lists this ribosomal RNA (275 nucleotides) under uncultured bacterium. Its description in RNAcentral is "partial 16S ribosomal RNA". It matches the Rfam family "Bacterial small subunit ribosomal RNA", at positions 399 to 691 of the family's 1533-position model. The record is from RNAcentral.